CGCCUCCCUUUCUUAGGCCUUCAUCAGGUUCCGAAGAUGCUGUCUGAGAGAGGUGUCUCCACAAUAUGCUCGAAUAGAAAAAGGAAAUUUCGCACAAUAAAUGGAGUGCUAGGAGAUCUGCAACCUGCAAACCCUUGUGAACAAGAGGAAUUUGGCAGCUCAAGUGAUUCUGGUCAAUUAGGCUGGAGCAUACUCAGUAACCAUGCGGCCUCUAACUGGGCCGAAAGUAUUGUAUCCCUUACUUCAUUUGAUGAAGGGGGUUCCAUACAUCCUGCAUGCACAGGCAUAGUUGUUGAUCACACUAAAUCUAGGGCAUAUCUUCUGGCUUCAUUAAGCUUGUUUAGAUCUAGACAUGAUGAUAGAACUAUCAAUU
Lolium rigidum is the source of this 373-nucleotide long non-coding RNA. RefSeq lists it as uncharacterized. The transcript has 4 exons. The record is from RefSeq and is a predicted model, not a curated record. Lineage: Eukaryota; Viridiplantae; Streptophyta; Magnoliopsida; Poales; Poaceae.